This 466-nucleotide ribosomal RNA is filed under the name uncultured bacterium. RNAcentral describes it as "partial 16S ribosomal RNA". It matches the Rfam family "Bacterial small subunit ribosomal RNA", at positions 28 to 507 of the family's 1533-position model. The record is from RNAcentral.
GAUGAACGCUGGCGGCGUGCUUAACACAUGCAAGUCGAACGGAAAGGCCCAAGCUUGCUUGGGUGCUCGAGUGGCGAACGGGUGAGUAACACGUGGGUGAUCUGCCCUGCACUUUGGGAUAAGCCUGGGAAACUGGGUCUAAUACCGGAUAGGACCAUCGUUUAGUGUCGGUGGUGGAAAGUGUUUCGGUGUGGGAUGAGCUCGCGGCCUAUCAGCUUGUUGGUGGGGUAAUGGCCUACCAAGGCGUCGACGGGUAGCCGGCCUGAGAGGGUGUACGGCCACAUUGGGACUGAGAGACGGCCCAGACUCCUACGGGAGGCAGCAGUGGGGAAUAUUGCACAAUGGGCGCAAGCCUGAUGCAGCGAGGCCGCGUGGGGGAUGACGGCCUUCGGGUUGUAAACUCCUUUCGCCAAGGACGAAGCGUUUUGUGACGGUACUUGGAGAAGAAGCACCGGCUAACUACGUG